UAUGUCCCUACACAAACAACGUGAGAAAUUUUCAUCAAACAAAAUCGCGCAUCACAGAGUGAAAAUAACUCGUGUGUCCAUCCAUCACGCGUCAUAUUAAUGUAUCCGACCUUUAGUAUCAUGUCAAUGCUACUGCUAGUCUUCACAGUGGAAUAAAAGUGUAUUUGCGCUAUUAACAUCAAACCGUCAAAUAAUUCGAUAUUCGCAAUAAAACAAAAACGAUGGGUCCACUUACCGUCAGGGAAAUCCGAUAUACACGGUGGUCGUCUGGCGACUGACGUCCCACUAGUGCCUCAGAUUCCCGACGAAAUGCUGGAAAACUCAAUUAACUACGAACAACCAGAAGAUUUUUUCAUCGGCCGAUUCCGCCAGCAGCAUUAGCGGUAAUCUAUCAGUAGCGUUUUUUACAGGAGCUCGGAACAUUAAGACCAAUUGAGACUUUUCUAAACUCUAAAAUUGCACACAGUCGCACACAUACUGCAGUGCUGCCUCCGACGAAAUUUCCCUUUCCUCGAGGUUCUCUCUAGAUCCCUACGUACAAGAAUUACAAGUAAAAUAAAUAAAAUUACGUUAUGUAAUAUUAUGCCAGAUGUCAGCACUAUCAAAUAGCGGGAAAUUCGAUG
Long non-coding RNA from Linepithema humile (Argentine ant), 623 nucleotides. RefSeq lists it as uncharacterized. NCBI's taxonomy places the organism in Eukaryota, Metazoa, Arthropoda, Insecta, Hymenoptera, Formicidae. The record is from RefSeq and is a predicted model, not a curated record.